CAAAAGCAUCUCUCUCUAUUUGAUGUCAUAGUGGGGUGAUUAUGUAAUGUCAGCUGUAAACUAGCCUCCUGGUUCAAUUCCAGAGAAGCACCUGUAGUGGCACGUUAGGUAUGACUCACACAUGUACAGACGAUACUGUGUCGUGCCUACACUCGCUGAAUAGUCAAGGAUUUUCAGAGGACACAGAGCUCCAGCGAGGUCGCCUGAGAGAGGUCCCGAGUUCCACAGAGCGAUUCCUGUGAGGAAUGGUACCUCUGCGAACCUAC
Molecule: long non-coding RNA, 266 nt
Organism: Lates calcarifer (barramundi perch)
Lineage: Eukaryota; Metazoa; Chordata; Actinopteri; Centropomidae
Exons: 3
Source: RefSeq, a predicted model, not a curated record